RNAcentral lists this ribosomal RNA (276 nucleotides) under uncultured bacterium. RNAcentral describes it as "partial 16S ribosomal RNA". It matches the Rfam family "Bacterial small subunit ribosomal RNA", at positions 83 to 354 of the family's 1533-position model. The record is from RNAcentral.
CCUUUGAAGUUAGCGGCGGACGGGUGAGUAACACGUGGGUAACCUACCUAUAAGACUGGGAUAACUUCGGAAACCGGAGCUAAUACCGGAUAACACUUAGAACCGCAUGGUUCUAAAGUGAAAGANGGUUUUGCUAUCACUUAUAGAUGGACCCGCGCCGUAUUAGCUAGUUGGUAAGGUAACGGCUUACCAAGGCGACGAUACGUAGCCGACCUGAGAGGGUGAUCGGCCACACUGGAACUGAGACACGGUCCAGACUCCUACGGAAGGCAGCAG